GACGGAGGGGGCUAGCGUUGUUCGGAAUUACUGGGCGUAAAGAGCGCGUAGGCGGUCUAGCAAGUUGGAAGUAAAAGCCCGGGGCUUAACCUCGGAAUGUCUUUCAAAACUGCUAAACUAGAGUGUGGUAGGGGGUGACGGAAUUCCUAGUGUAGAGGUGAAAUUCUUAGAUAUUAGGAGGAACACCGGUGGCGAAAGCGGUCACCUGGGCCAUAACUGACGCUGAGGCGCGAAAGCGUGGGGAGCAAACAGG
Molecule: ribosomal RNA, 253 nt
Filed under: uncultured bacterium
Lineage: Bacteria
Description: partial 16S ribosomal RNA
Rfam family: Bacterial small subunit ribosomal RNA
Source: RNAcentral